AUUUAAAAAUUGAGAGAGUUUUAUAUUAUAUUUUUAAGUUAAGGGACUAUGGUGUUACAAUCUCAUAAGUUUAGGGAUAGUAGUUCAAAUUUAUCCAUUUUUUAGCACAAAAAGGUGAGAGAGGCUUAAAGGGUAUAGGGCCCUUGUGUUUUCAUACCAUAUUUGUUUUCUCAACCUUAAUAGAAGAAGGAGAUGGCAGAGCGGGGACUAAGAACCUUAGGCAGUAAUGAA
Molecule: unclassified non-coding RNA, 231 nt
Filed under: Hevea brasiliensis (rubber tree)
Lineage: Eukaryota; Viridiplantae; Streptophyta; Magnoliopsida; Malpighiales; Euphorbiaceae
Source: RNAcentral